Molecule: ribosomal RNA, 468 nt
Filed under: uncultured bacterium
Lineage: Bacteria
Description: partial 16S ribosomal RNA
Rfam family: Bacterial small subunit ribosomal RNA
Source: RNAcentral
GACGAACGCUGGCGGCGUGCUUAACACAUGCGAGUCGAACGGAAAGGCCCUGCUUUUGUGGAGUGCUCGAGUGGCGAACGGGUGAGUAACACGUGAGUAACCUGCCCUUGACUUUGGGAUAACUUCAGGAAACUGGGGCUAAUACCGGAUAGGAGCUCCUGCUGCAUGGUGGGGGUUGGAAAGUUUCGGCGGUUGGGGAUGGACUCGCGGCUUAUCAGCUUGUUGGUGGGGUAGUGGCUUACCAAGGCUUUGACGGGUAGCCGGCCUGAGAGGGUGACCGGCCACAUUGGGACUGAGAUACGGCCCAGACUCCUACGGGAGGCAGCAGUGGGGAAUAUUGCACAAUGGGCGGAAGCCUGAUGCAGCAACGCCGCGUGCGGGAUGACGGCCUUCGGGUUGUAAACCGCUUUCGCCUGUGACGAAGCGUGAGUGACGGUAAUGGGUAAAGAAGCACCGGCUAACUACGUG